CUUCCAUGAUCUGCGGGCAGAUCAGGUGCACGUGGCAGUCGAUGGCACCGGCGGUGACGAUGCGGCCGUUCCCGGCGAUGAUCUCGGUGGACGGGCCGACGACGAGGUCGGGAUGCACCCCGGACAUGAUGUCGGGAUUGCCGGCCUUGCCGAUCGCGACGAUGCGCCCGUCGCGGAUGCCGAUGUCGGCCUUGAUGAUUCCCCAGUAGUCGAGGAUGACGGCGCCGGUGAUGACGGUGUCGGGGGCGCCGUCGGCCCUGGUGGCCCGGGAUUGCCCCAUCGAUUCGCGCAG
The sequence is a small RNA, 292 nucleotides long. It matches the Rfam family "5' ureB small RNA". The record is from Rfam.